UACGUAGGGACCGAGCGUUGUCCGGAAUCAUUGGGCGUAAAGAGCGUGUAGGCGGCCACUUAAGUCCUGCGUGAAAUCUUGCGGCUCAACCGCAAGCGGUCGUGGGAAACUGGGUGGCUAGAGUGCGGGAGAGGAGAGUGGAAUUCCUGGUGUAGCGGUGGAAUGCGCAGAUAUCAGGAGGAACACCGGUGGCGAAGGCGGUUCUCUGGGCAUGUCCUGACGCUGAGGAGCGAAAGUGUGGGGAGCGAACAGG
Molecule: ribosomal RNA, 253 nt
Filed under: uncultured bacterium
Lineage: Bacteria
Description: partial 16S ribosomal RNA
Rfam family: Bacterial small subunit ribosomal RNA
Source: RNAcentral